This 1191-nucleotide ribosomal RNA is filed under the name metagenome. RNAcentral describes it as "bacterial SSU rRNA". It matches the Rfam family "Bacterial small subunit ribosomal RNA", at positions 337 to 1520 of the family's 1533-position model. The record is from RNAcentral.
UCCUACGGGAGGCAGCAGUGGGGAAUUUUGGACAAUGGGGGCAACCCUGAUCCAGCCAUGCCGCGUGAGUGAAGAAGGCCUUCGGGUUGUAAAGCUCUUUCAGCCGGGAAGAAAAUGCAUGGGUUAAUACCCUGUGCAGAUGACGGUACCGGAAUAAGAAGCACCGGCUAACUACGUGCCAGCAGCCGCGGUAAUACGUAGGGUGCGAGCGUUAAUCGGAAUUACUGGGCGUAAAGCGUGCGCAGGCGGUUUUGUAAGACAGGCGUGAAAUCCCCGGGCUUAACCUGGGAACUGCGUUUGUGACUGCAAGGCUAGAGUACGGCAGAGGGGGGUGGAAUUCCACGUGUAGCAGUGAAAUGCGUAGAGAUGUGGAGGAACACCAAUGGCGAAGGCAGCCCCCUGGGUCGAUACUGACGCUCAUGCACGAAAGCGUGGGUAGCAAACAGGAUUAGAUACCCUGGUAGUCCACGCCCUAAACGAUGUCAACUAGGUGUUGGGAGGGUAAAACCUUUUAGUACCGUAGCUAACGCGAGAAGUUGACCGCCUGGGGAGUACGGCCGCAAGGUUAAAACUCAAAGGAAUCGACGGGGACCCGCACAAGCGGUGGAUGAUGUGGAUUAAUUCGAUGCAACGCGAAGAACCUUACCUACCCUUGACAUGUCAGGAACUUUCCAGAGAUGGAUUGGUGCCCGAAAGGGAACCUGAACACAGGUGCUGCAUGGCUGUCGUCAGCUCGUGUCGUGAGAUGUUGGGCUAAGUCCCGCAACGAGCGCAACCCUUGUCGUUAAUUGCCAUCAUUCAGUUGGGCACUUUAACGAGACUGCCGGUGACAAACCGGAGGAAGGUGGGGAUGACGUCAAGUCCUCAUGGCCCUUAUGGGUAGGGCUUCACACGUCAUACAAUGGUCGGUACAAAGGGUCGCCAGCCCGCGAGGGGGAGCCAAUCCCAUAAAGCCGAUCGUAGUCCGGAUUGUAGGCUGCAACUCGCCUGCAUGAAGUCGGAAUCGCUAGUAAUCGUGGAUCAGCAUGUCACGGUGAAUACGUUCCCGGGUCUUGUACACACCGCCCGUCACACCAUGGGAGCGGGUUCCGCCAGAAGUAGGUAGCCUAACCGCAAGGGGGGCGCUUACCACGGCGGGGUUCGUGACUGGGGUGAAGUCGCAACAAGGUAGCCGUAGGGAACCUGCGGCUG